Molecule: ribosomal RNA, 445 nt
Filed under: uncultured bacterium
Lineage: Bacteria
Description: partial 16S ribosomal RNA
Rfam family: Bacterial small subunit ribosomal RNA
Source: RNAcentral
GUAGGGAAUAUUGGGCAAUGGAUGCAAGUCUGACCCAGCCAUCCCGCGUGCCGGAAGAAGGCUCUCAGGGUUGUAAACGGCUUUUGACGGUGAAGAAUCGACAGGAUGCGUCCUGUUUUGACGGUAGCCGUUGAAUAAGCACCGGCUAACUCCGUGCCAGCAGCCGCGGUAAUACGGAGGGUGCGAGCGUUGUCCGGAUUUAUUGGGUUUAAAGGGUGCGUAGGCUGGAAGGUCAGUCAGCGGUGAAAAGCUGUCGCUUAACGAUAGUCUUGCCGCAGAUACUUCCUUUCUUGGAUGAGGAGGAGGCCACUGGAACGGAUGGUGUAGCGGUGAAAUGCAUAGAUAUCAUCCAGAACACCGAUUGCGAAGGCAGGUGGCUGUACCUUAAUCGACGCUGAUGCACGAAAGCAUGGGGAGCAAACAGGAUUAGAAACCCCUGUAGUCC